This 403-nucleotide ribosomal RNA is filed under the name bacterium. RNAcentral describes it as "partial 16S ribosomal RNA". It matches the Rfam family "Bacterial small subunit ribosomal RNA", at positions 355 to 776 of the family's 1533-position model. The record is from RNAcentral. RNAcentral also lists the same sequence under 2 other names.
UGGGGAAUAUUGCACAAUGGAGGGAACUCUGAUGCAGCGACGCCGCGUGAACGAAGAAGGCUUUCGAGUCGUAAAGUUCUUUUAUAUGGGAAGAUAAUGACGGUACCAUAAGAAAAAGCCCCGGCUAACUACGUGCCAGCAGCCGCGGUAAUACGUAGGGGGCUAGCGUUGUCCGGAAUCACUGGGCGUAAAGGGUUCGCAGGCGGAAAUGCAAGUCAGGUGUAAAAGGCAGUAGCUUAACUACUGUAAGCAUUUGAAACUGCAUAUCUUGAGAAGAGUAGAGGUAAGUGGAAUUUUUAGUGUAGCGGUGAAAUGCGUAGAUAUUAAAAAGAAUACCGGUGGCGAAGGCGACUUACUGGGAUCAUUCUGACGCUGAGGAACGAAAGCGUGGGUAGCAAACAGG